This is a non-coding RNA of Caenorhabditis elegans, 293 nucleotides long. NCBI's taxonomy places the organism in Eukaryota, Metazoa, Nematoda, Chromadorea, Rhabditida, Rhabditidae. The record is from Ensembl.
UUCUCAACGGUAUCAAAAACUCAUAAAUUUGCUGUAAUCUUGAGAACACGGAAAAAGUAGACUUGUCCUUCGUCUUCCCCUUUCUCAGCUUUAGAAUUGAUGAGGAAAGGGGAGAGGGUAGAUGAGAAACGACAUGGGACACCCCUGUGUGCUCGGUAGUUGAAAUGUGAUCUUUUGUGACAUAGUACGUCAGAUUAUCAAGAUUCAAGAGGACGAAAAAUGUGGGAAAUUCGUAAAAACUGGAAAGAAGGACUGGCACAGAGGGAUUCAUGAUGCCGUCGUCUAGAAAUUCG